This 500-nucleotide ribosomal RNA is filed under the name uncultured bacterium. RNAcentral's name for it is "partial 16S ribosomal RNA". It matches the Rfam family "Bacterial small subunit ribosomal RNA", at positions 30 to 523 of the family's 1533-position model. The record is from RNAcentral.
AUUGAACGCUGGCGGAAUGCUUUACACAUGCAAGUCGAACGGCAGCACGGACUUCGGUCUGGUGGCGAGUGUCGAACGGGUGAGUAAUGUAUCGGAACGUGCCCAGUCGUGUGGGAUAACGUAGUUAAAAUUACGGUAAUACCGCAUACGAUCUAUGGGUGAAAGCGGGGGAUCGCAAGACCUCGCGCGAUUGGAGCGGCCGAAAUCAGAUUAGGUAGUUGGUGGGGUAAAGGCCCACCAAGCCAACGAUCCGUAGCUGGUCUGAGAGGACGAGCAGCCACACUGGAACUGAGACACGGUCCAGACUCCUACGGGAGGCAGCAGUGGGGAAUUUUGGACAAUGGGCGAAAGCCUGAUCCAGCCAUUCCGCGUGCAGGAUGAAGGCCCUCGGGUUGUAAACUGCUUUUGUACAGAACGAAAAGGUUUCUACUAAUACUAGGAGCUCAUGACGGUACUGUAAGAAUAAGCACCGGCUAACUACGUGCCAGCAGCCGCCGUAA